AUCCUAGCAAGGAUUGACGCACGUCUCUUGUAAGUCGACUCGAAACAGGCGGAUAGACGAUAAGGAAAAGCGACGAAAAGACAGCGAGAUACGGGAGGCAAGUCGUUCGAGGUGGACUGACACCCCAGCCUCGAACCUACCGCCACACACAAUCAGCUGGCACACAUAGCUGAGUUAGCGACCGAACGCAUCGCGCGCGCAUUCAGGCACGCGAAAAAAAAAACGAAAGCAAAGCGUGAAGCAAAAGGAGGACACACCUUUCUCAACUACAUUUUGGCACAGGGCGCGCCUUGGAUAGUGAGCACUGACGACUAGCGCUCGCGCUCUCUUCUUCCUUACCUCCUUCCUCCGCCGGCAGGCGAGUGUGCACGAGCCGCCGCGGGCAAAAAGAAAAGAGGACGCGCUCUUUUCUUUGCUCCUUUUAGCUUUUUUUUUGUGCGCUGCUCUCUGUGCAUCAUGGCGCGACGCGAUUGGUGGUGGGUGUGGAGGGCGAUUGGGUCUACAGCGUCGAGUGGAGACGACAUCGUCGCUCCGGGUGCCGGCGUUGCUUCUGGUCUCCCUUUUGUCGCAGGGCUCCAGUGGCCUCGCGGCUCCUUCUCUCUCUUUAUUUCCACUGUCUGUGCCUCCCGAGUAGGUCUCGCCCAUGCGAGUUCCUUGAUGUCGUCACCCGGUUACGACAGGACGCUGCAAGGACGGGUGGCCCCGCCCUCUCGCCCGUACACAGGCACGAGCAUAUACGGGUACCGAUGCGCCUGUGCAAGAAGCGGCGCUCUGUUCCCGCCGGCGCGGCCCUCGCUGUAGGCGGCAUAACCGCACACACCAGCCCGGCAGUCGGAUCGGUGGAGACGAAUGCGCGGACUCGCUGACUCGCCUCGGUGCAACUCUCUCACUCCUCUUCUCUCUCUUUCUCUCUCUCACGCUGGGGAAAG
Molecule: unclassified non-coding RNA, 929 nt
Filed under: Leishmania donovani
Lineage: Eukaryota; Euglenozoa; Kinetoplastea; Trypanosomatida; Trypanosomatidae
Description: gene:unknown
Source: RNAcentral